Molecule: ribosomal RNA, 894 nt
Filed under: uncultured bacterium
Lineage: Bacteria
Description: bacterial SSU rRNA
Rfam family: Bacterial small subunit ribosomal RNA
Source: RNAcentral
AGAGUUUGAUCCUGGCUCAGGACGAACGCUGGCGGCGUGCUUAACACAUGCAAGUCGAACGAUGAAGUUCCUUCGGGAAUGGAUUAGUGGCGAACGGGUGAGGAACACGUGAGAAACCUGCCCAUCAUUUUGGGAUAACACCGGGAAACCGGUGCUAAUACCGAAUACUCCAUCGCAACGGCAUCGUUGCGCUGGGAAAGAAUUUCGAUGAUGGAUGGUCUCGCGGCCUAUCAGCUUGUUGGUGAGGUAACGGCUCACCAAGGCGACGACGGGUAGCCGGCCUGAGAGGGCGACCGGCCACACUGGGACUGAGACACGGCCCAGACUCCUACGGGAGGCAGCAGUGGGGAAUAUUGGGCAAUGGACGCAAGUCUGACCCAGCGACGCUGCGUGAGGGAUGAAGGCCUUCGGGUUGUAAACCUCUUUCAGUGGGGAAGAAGCGAAAGUGACGGUACCCAAAGAAGAAGCACCGGCUAACUAUGUGCCAGCAGCCGCGGUAAUACAUAGGGUGCAAGCGUUGUCCGGAAUUAUUGGGCGUAAAGAGCUCGUAGGUCGUUUGACACGUCGGAUGUGAAAAUCUGAGGCUUAACCUCAGACCUGCAUUCGAUACGGUCAAACUAGAGUGUGGUAGGGGAGACUGGAAUUCCUGGUGUAGCGGUGGAAUGCGCAGAUAUCAGGAGGAACACCAAUGGCGAAGGCAGGUCUCUGGGCCAUUACUGACACUGAGGAGCGAAAGCGCGGGGAGCGAACAGGAUUAGAUACCCUGGUAGUCCGCGCCGUAAACGGUGGGCACUAGUUGUGGGAACCUUCCACGGUUUCCGCGACGCAGCUAACGCAUUAAGUGCCCCGCCUGGGGAGUACGAUCGCAAGAUUAAAACUCAAAGGAAUUGACGG